This 72-nucleotide non-coding RNA is filed under the name unclassified sequences. The record is from RNAcentral.
GCCGGAACGUUCCGGCACUGUAAUGCAGCCGAAGCCGGUUCAAAGCCCGGAUUGAGAAAUGCAGAGGACAGA